UUCAAUGGAAAUUUUUCAUAGCCUCUGACUGCUAAAAAUAGCAGUGAGGUGAAAGAAGUGGGCACCGACUCUACGGGGUCAUUUCCUUUAUAAAAAGGAGUGGGCUGAAACGGCAGGCUGAAUUAUUUAUCAACACAUUUGUUCAUUCAGUCAGUGUCUCAAAAACAUAUUGUAUGUGCAUUUCCUGUCAAUUUAAUACAGCCAUCUCAGAUGGAAACAUCACAUUCUUCCUGAUGACAAGAGGUCAUUUCAGUCUAGGGACAGCUAAUAUUUUAGCUGAAAACAAAAAGCUAAAAAUAAAACUCAAGGAAAGCAAAAUCUGCAGGACAGGGCUGCCAAGCUAACAGCACAGCGACAGGAGAACAGCUACUAUCUGGUCUCCAGCGCAAAUAUGGAUGAGACUAUAGCUGGAGCUGUCUGCUGCCCGUGAUUCAGACUGUCUAUGGAAUGCAAUGAGUGUAAAGUAAGUGGACAACAAGUCUGGGAAUGGACUUUAUUGUGGUUUAGAAGCUUUCAGUUCCCAAAUGCAUGAACACAUUCCUUUUUCAAGUUAUUGUUUUCCAGGAUUUCAAAAUUACAAUCGAAAGUUGUUUCAUGCCAUCUGGAAACUGACUCCUUGGUGCUGAUAAUCGUCAUCUGGUUUAGUCUCCAAACAAGCUUGUCUUCCACCAGCAAGUAGAUGGGAUUUUUUCUUGUCUUGGUGCACCAGUUGUCUGAGAGGCCCUACGCACAAACACAGUGAGCGUAUAUAUACCACUACGUGACUAUCCGUUCUCCACAGUCUGCGUGCUCUCUUAAUGGACUUUGCAUGUUCUUCUGAACAGGAAAUGCUUUGUCAGAAACUUGCCUGUGGGCAUUGUGCUGCACCAAUUAAAGAUUCCUGAACUCAAGAACAAAGGGAUGCUAGUGGAACUAGGCUUUUAAUCACUCGGUUCAUUUUUUUCCUUCCUCCACAGCUGAUUUUGGAUGUAUGGCGUGUUUUUUGUUUGUUGUUUUAUUUUGGUUUGGUUUUUUUGGAUAGCUACUCAGGAAUGCUGCUAGGGAAACAUCUUCAUUUUUACAUAUGCAGAGAGGAUGUCAGGCUACUUAUGCAAAGGUUACUUGAAUUCAAUCAAAAUAUUUACUAUUUUUAAUUGUAAUAUUUCCUUGAGUGCCAAAAAUGUUUAGAAUUGGAGUUCCUGGGGUUUGUACACAUGUGAAAAAAUGCUUGGGCUUUUGUGGUCUUGUUUUGUUUCAAGAGGCCUGUGAAAAAUCAGGUGUGAGCCAACUAUGACAAUAAUAAUACCUGGCACUUAGCCAAGUAUAUGCCACCUUUUCCCCAAGGAUUCUUGUGCAUUUUACUAACAUGCGUCAACUUGGCCUCACAACACCUCCUGUGAGGUAGGAUAACUAUUAGGAUACAUUUUUACAUAAGUGUACACCAAAGCCCAGAGUGGUUAGGUGACUUGACUUUUUCAUGUCCCUGGCAGAGUUGAGAAUAGAAUGCAGGAGUCCUGCCUCCCAUUGUUAUGUUCUUUCCACCUCUUUGUAAUAGAUAUUAAGCUCUUGAAGGCAGGGACCAUCUUUCUGCUCUGAAUCUGUACAGCGACUAGCACCAUGAAGCCCAGGUCUGUGGCUGAGGCUCUUAGGCACUUUAGCCAUAGAAAUAAGUAAUAAUAAUAAUAAUUAAUAAAAUAUAUAUGGGGUGCAGUGGAACCAAAACAUAGAAUAGUGACCUCAACUGAGACCAAGUGGAUAAUGCUGAGUAGUAAGAGCUAUAGGACCAGCAUCAGAUUGGCUAAUGCAUAGAUUUGCUUUAAUCCAGGUGAAAUUGCUUGGAGAAUGUACAGGCACUACUCAGAGUCCACUGAAUCUAUGACCACACCUUCUAUGAAAAGUAGUUCUAAUCAUAAACAGAAAGUGGCUUUUUUGAUGCAAAUGUUUUCUCUACUCAAACCACAGCCCUACAAAAUACAAAUUCACUACCUUCUAUAAUGCGAGAAAAUAGAAAGAGAAAAAACCAUUUUUCUCCCUCAGCUAUAGGCUCCUUUGUGAUUUUGUCCAACACUCAUAGGCGGAAAAAGAGAGAGCUAAAACCAAACUGUAACGUAAGCAUAGGAGACCAUGUUCUGUGCAGCCUGAAGUUGAAAGAAACAGUGUGAACUCAGAGAGAUAGCUUCACUGAAUCCAGUCAAAGGGCUAGAUCCUUGGCCCCAGGUAAGUUUUCUGUGCUACUCCAGUAGCGUGAAGGGGACUUUAAGCUGCCUUAAUCAUGCAGCUAAGGUUCCCCUUGUGCGGGGGAAUCCCCAGCUGACAUAAAGUUGACAUCGUUGGCUUUAGGCCACGUGCUCCUUUACCCGCAGCAGAGGGGGCUGGAGAGGGCAGAGUUGGAGCUCAGUAAGCUGUGAUAAUUCUGGCCCACAAGAAAGGUCCAAUGAAGACUGCUCCAGCUGGAAUAAAUUAGAGCAGCCCUGUGCCCUGCAACUAACUGCAAGUCCUUCCUCUUCUUUCCUCCCAUAUAGAUAUAAUCCUCACCUUCCCUAAAUACUGCUUCUUGCCCUGAAACACAGCCAGGGCCUUGCACAGGAGCACAGCAGGCCCAAGCCUGCAUUGGAGAAGUGCAAGAAGCCUCCCCAUUUGCCCCGCCAUCAGUCAGUCCUGAUGCUCUGAAUGUACAGAAUGUCUGGGGUCAGAUGCAGCCACCGUAUGGGCUGGCACCACGAUUGCAGUCUCAUCCAAUGGGUGGUACAGCAGCUGCACUACUCAGGUGCUCCAGGAAGCACUGUGUUUUCUUGAGAUACGCUCCCUCCCACAGCAUCUCCCUAGGGAGGGCUGCUUUGCAUUGGGCGCCCAGUGGAAGUCUGUGGCUAAUGAUACAACCUGGUUCAUUAUUAGUAAGAGAGAAAACAAGAGAUGCACACUUCAACUCCUGGUCUAGUCCUGGGGACCCUGUAAGGCCUGGUAACUUUCUCAGAGUGGCCGGAAGCAUGCAAUAGAAUAAUUUCCUAAACAUCUGGUGACACUUUUGUGUCAUGCUGUACAAAGAUAAGUAGAAUCAUCCUGAAGUGUCAAUAAUCAGAAUAAAAAUCUCAUUUGGGCGACAAUUACUGUGGUGUGUGGCAGAACCCACAGAGAGUAAUAUCCUGGUCUUAGUGAAGGUGAGUGAAAGUCCUAGGUCAUUUAUAUGUAUCACAAGGUGCAGGUUGCAAUUUCAGUUCUACUGAAACAUCCGUUUCAAGUGCAGUUUUUCUGUGAAAUAACUUUGCUAUAAAAGGGCUCCACGGAACUGCAAGUCUGAUGAACAGCGGCAGUUGUGCCUACCGCCUUCCUUCCCACUGCUCUUCUAAUUACUGACACACUGAAAAUAAUUCAGAUAUAUUGCAGCAGAGAGGCUAUUUUGGGGUUUUGAGAUGUGGUUAGAUAGUUGCCAUCUGAAUGACAAACAUAUUUCUUUGUGAAGUAAAAAAACAUGUAACUUACGUAUUCUCAGGCUGGAAAAUCAAUACCACUUUGGAGAGCAGCUACAUAUUUAUUUACUUAUUUAGGGCCAGAUUCUACCACCUUUAUUUACUCCCACUGAGUCUGUCUAAGGUCAGUCUGUCUAAGGCCACUAUUUCUGUAGUAUCUGAGUGCCUCACAAUCAUCAACAUAUUGAUGUCAGUACCCCCUCACCAGGGUAUUGUGAUUUUUCCAUUUUACAGAUGGGGAAUUGAAGCACACAGAGGCUAAAUGACUUGCCCAAGGUCACACAGGAGCUCUGUGCAAUUGCAGGUACUUGAAUCUUUGUAGGCUAGUUCCCUAGCAACUGUGCCUUCCUUUUUGUACCCUAGAUUUAGAGACUUCUGUGCCUAGUGGCACAUGGGGCAAUCCACUUUGCCCACUGCUGUCUAUCCAGAGCAAGAUGUUUGAUUCCACUGGAAGUUGUCUCUGUGAUGGCAGCAUCCUUCCUGCGCUAGGUCAUUCUUUGUCCUCCCCACCUUCUCUUUCUUCCAGGUGGAAUCCAAUCUAAGAUGUAUCUUGUGCUUCUAACACAGAGUAGCAUGGGGGAAAUGGUUGAAACAGGUCCAAAUCUGAACCCUGGAUAAAAUCUCCCUGAAGAGCUGGACAGACUUAAUUCAGAAAACAUCCAACUCAAGUUAUCUCCAUCUGUUUUACAUUUCCAAACAGAACCUAAACUGCUGGAUAGCUUUGUUCUAUGCUCCCUUUAAAUAAUGUUAUGGAAGAACAAGAAGUUUGGUGGUUCUGCCAGCCCUUGCCUGUGAGACUAAGGAAGCUGAGAAGAAAAUGGAAGUGAACGGCAGUGGAUUGGAAAGGUAGUUAGUGGAAGUGUAACACCGAAAAAACCCGGUUGCCAGUGGGUGGGAUCGAACCUGGGACCUCUGAAGCUUAAUGCCUGAGCCUCUACUGCAUGAGUUAAAAACCAACUGGCUGUUAGCUGAGGCUGUAGGGCAGACUCAUUUAACUCUCUCCUUAAGUGUUCUCAGUGCCACUAGAUGAGACAGAACAUCACACCCAGAAGGCGUAUAGGUUACACAAGCCAGCUGACCUCUUGUUGUAAGGUGGCACACACAAGUGGAACUAUCAUAGGAAGGCAUCACUGAUGAGUAUGUGUAGCAUUUGGGCACAGGAAGUGGCAAUAUUGUUUGGAGGUGGAACAAGAAUCAUAUUUUAAAAGUAAGAUGAAAAGGAAGGGCUACGUGGAUUACUCUAAUAGUAUGUGUCAGCGGCAGGGGUCCUUGGAGCUGAGAGUGCACUGGGCAAAGAAAGAGUCAUGAUCUCAAAAAGAAGAAAAGCUGCUUUUUAGCUGCAGAGAUGGGAGGAGAAUUACUACAGGGAGACAACAUAACGGACCUGGCAGCAGAAACACAAUAAGAGGGCCAGAAGAAAAAAAGAGAAAUAAUAAUAAUAAUAAUUGUACCCUGUAUUUCUCUGGUUGCUUCCAAGAUUGUUCAAACAUUAAUGAACACUAUAGCCCUGUGUGGCAGUAGUUGUUAUCUCCCAUUGAACAGAUGAGGAACCGAUGGGGCAGGAUUUGCCCAAGGUCACACAGGAACUUCAUGUCAGAGCUGAGAAUAGAUUCUUAGUUCCCUGAAUUGCAAGACUUUGCAUUAACCACAAGAGCAAGGGACUUGGAGACAGAGAGGAGAGGGAAGGAUGCAACUAUAAUACAAAAAAACCCCAAACCAAACCAAAAACCCCACCAAUCCUGGCGUGUUAGCAGAAAUCUAGAGAGAGAAGAACAGGAUGAAGGACUAGAAGGAGAAAGAUAGGGGAAGGGGAAGAAAAGAGAAGGGAAGCAAGAAAAACCAAAACAACCAUGGUCUUAGUAGUAACUAUGCAAAAGUAGUCAGCUAUAGCACAAUACAACCAUCCAGCUGGUUAAACCUAACCAUGGGAAGGGAGAGACAAGGUGGGUGAGGUCAUAUCUUUUAUUGGACCAACUUCUCUUGGUGAAAGAGAUACGCUUUGGAGCUACACAGAGCUCUUCUUCAGGUCUGGGAAAGGUACUCAGAGUAUCACAACUAAAUACAAGGUGGAAUUAGCCCUGGGAAUGGUCAUCUAAGCAUCUACCCGAUAAGUAUCACAGCCAGAUUAAUCACCUCUUAUAAUCUCAGGAGAUCGAUUCAGCCAAAGGGACUUGUCAAACUUCCAUAAUUGUAUUGAUUUGGGUUUCUUUUAAUACUAUAAAGUGCAAAAAUAAAUUUUCUAGUUAGCAAAAUGUGGUUUUUGUUAUAUUCUGAAUCACUUUUCCCCAUGGAAAAGCGAAGUGGUUUUCAAGACCUGAACAUUUUGGAAUUAUGUGUUUUGCAAAGUAAAGCAUAACUACCCCAAGGGCUCCUUUUUAAUAAAGUAAACAUGUAGGGAAGGGAAAUACUAGUGUGAAUAGUUCCCCAUAGUCCAUCUUGGGCAUAAUACCUUAUAAUUAAUCUGAGAAUUCUGAAAAUUCAGAUGAUUGAGAGCUGACCUCUAGUUUUGACCUACAAUGUGCAAUAUCAUGAUAAUUUGUGCAUACUUAAUAUUUCCAUUCCAUGGAUGGAUGUGGCCUCUAGCCUAAAAAAUAGCUGAAAGAACCCUCUGAAUAAGAAUACAGUUUAUGCUAAGGAUUUUAAGGGCUCCAGUGAGCUAUUAUGAUUUAAACAGGUAAACAAAAUGUGUCCAAAUGUCAGACCAAAGCAGCUCUUUUACCCUGUUGUGUCACCUGCAAAAUUUCUCCAUAGAAAAGGGUUCUGUUCUGUAGUCCUGACUCAGACACAACUCCCACAAACAACUAACUUUGAGCAAUAUUGUAUGCUCAGGGGGCAUGCAAUUUUUUCAUGCUUUUCCGAGACAAAGGCACCUAUUGUGAAUGUAGGCACUAAUAUCCCAUAGAGUUCAGUGGAACGUUAGUAUACAGACCAGCAGCCAACCUGAUGACAAAGAUGUUCAAACAGAAGCCUGGAACUUCAUUCCCAACUCACUGCCAGUCUUUCACUUGCACUCCCUGUUUUGUAACACAUACUUGGAGGUACACUGUGCACCAUUCUGAUGCACUCAUGGUAUAGUUGGGCAUUACAGACGUGAUCCAAAGCCCACUGAAAUCUUUCUUUUAACUUCAGUGGGUUCUGGAACAGGCCCAAAGUUCAUCAGACUUAACUUUGAAUUUCCUUAUUUUUUCAUUUGUAUUGCAACCAUGAGAUUUUUUUUGUGUGUCCAAUAUUUAUAGAAAGGAGGAAGAAUCUCUGAUGCCCUAAUAUUAAAAGAAUGUUAAGACACAGUGGCCACUUCUAUUACAGAGAAAAAUUACCUCACGCUGUUAUAAAGCUGCUUUCCCUGAGCAGUCCCUGGCUUUUGCUUACUUUAUUUAUUUCAGGUCCAAAAAAUACUAGCAAAAUUCUCUCUGCAGACAAAGAUCAUUUUAUAUUUGUAAGAACUACCCCAGAAUGAUUGCUGUAAUGGGGCCAAGAUGACAUCAACUGCCAUGGCUGAAUGAAGAAGCUCAAACAUUUCAAAUACAGACUACAUUAAGAAGGAAAAAAGUGUGUCUGUGAGGGGUAGGGAAUAGAAACCUGUUCUGCCUGCAGCAAGCAGCCAUGAUGAUCAUAUCAGAUAAAUGUGUCUUCAAAUACUCAGUACCUCUAGGUUCACAGAGGAAAACUGACAGGGCUAGAAUUUCAAAAUCUAUACCUGUAUAACUGUGCAUGCAAUAUCACUAAGUAUUGUUUGCCUAAUUUAUACGUCGAUUGUCAGAAUUGCACGUGCACACGCAUGGGACCAAAAUUAGCAAUUUGCACAGGUAAUACUUGGAUUGUGAGUGCAGUCACAGUAACAGCACAUGAAAAUUAGGUGUGCAUUUUACAUACACAAUUACACAAUCCAGCCCACUCCACUUAUAUGCAGCAUUCUAAUCAAGGGCUUGUGCUCCCAUGGAAGUAAACAUGGGUUUUGCUCCUAACUUUAAUAGGAACAGGAUCUAGCCCCCAAGCCUUAGCUUUAUAUUUUUUGCCUGCUAUGAAAUAGUACUAAUGUUUAACAAAACAACCAAUCAACCCGUUUGCCAAUAACUCUUAUCUACCUAAGGAUAAGCAGGAUAUAUUCAAACAAGGCUUUACUUUUGCUUUUAUUCACUGCUAACAGCUAAAUCUACUGGGCUCACAACAAAGAAAUGACAUUGUUUUACUAAUCAAUGUACUACUGUUCAUCUAGAACAUCUGCAAUAGUUUUGCCUGCAGCACUACCCCAUUCAUUAUGUGUCUUCAUGGACUGUUCAAUUAGGCUUUUUAAAAAUGUAUUUAUUAAAUGUAUAAAAGGGUUUUACAUUGUCGAAUUUGCAUUGAUAUAAAUAAUUUUUAAAAAAACCCACUUUUUGUCGGUUUCUCCAUUUUCAACUAACGUUUGGCAAGUGGAAAAAAAAUUAGAAACAGUUUAAAACCUGACAGCUCACCCCGUGACUUAAAGACAGAGGUUUUCUAUGGACUGUGGAAAUGCUUCAUUUUUUUGUGUUGCUAUCUACCAAAAAUGCAGCUGAUGAAAGGCUCUUACAUUAAGAAAAUAUAAAACUUUACAAGGGAUGGGUUCUCACCCUGUCAAGAAGAAGGCCACAUUAUUUUUGUACAGAGGACCAGAUGGAAUUAUAUGUAAUAAAAAGAGAGUGCUGCUUACCAU
This is a long non-coding RNA of Chelonia mydas (Green sea turtle), 8121 nucleotides long. RefSeq lists it as uncharacterized. The transcript has 3 exons. NCBI's taxonomy places the organism in Eukaryota, Metazoa, Chordata, Testudines, Cheloniidae. The record is from RefSeq and is a predicted model, not a curated record.